AUGCUGAAAGACUGCUACUUCCUCUGCUUUCCACAUUUUUUCCCUGCUUUUUCUAAACAACACAUUCCUGUAACCAUAGGACCCACUGUUAGUGAAGCCACUGCUGAAAUCGCUGAUGGAUGUAGAAAGAAGAUAGAUAUUUUCCUGGCCUUUUUGAGAAGAACAAAUGUAUCCUUGGCUUACUAUCUGUUACAUCUUCCGUGACAGCCCUUGGAGUGACAUAAAUUUGAUGAGCUCUGUAAGGCAUUUCC
This 251-nucleotide long non-coding RNA is filed under the name Coturnix japonica (Japanese quail). RNAcentral describes it as "lncRNA (ENSCJPG00005017549.1)". Lineage: Eukaryota; Metazoa; Chordata; Aves; Galliformes; Phasianidae. The record is from RNAcentral.